This 303-nucleotide ribosomal RNA is filed under the name uncultured Lactobacillus sp. RNAcentral's name for it is "bacterial SSU rRNA". It matches the Rfam family "Bacterial small subunit ribosomal RNA", at positions 390 to 688 of the family's 1533-position model. The record is from RNAcentral. Lineage: Bacteria; Bacillati; Bacillota; Bacilli; Lactobacillales; Lactobacillaceae.
AGCACGCCGCGUGCGAAGAAGGUUUUCGGAUCGUAAAGCUCUGUUGUUGGUGAAGAAGGAUAGAGGUAGUAACUGGCCUUUAUUUGACGGUAAUCAACCAGGAAGUCACGGCUAACUACGUGCCAGCAGCCGCGGUAAUACGUAGGUGGCAAGCGUUGUCCGGAUUUAUUGGGCGUAAAGCGAGCGCAGGCGGAGAAAUAAGUCUGAUGUGAAAGCCCUCGGCUUAACCGGGGAAUUGCAUCGGAAACUGUUUUUCUUGAGUGCAGAAGAGGAGAGUGGAACUCCAUGUGUAGCGGUGAAAUC